RNAcentral lists this ribosomal RNA (261 nucleotides) under uncultured bacterium. Its description in RNAcentral is "partial 16S ribosomal RNA". It matches the Rfam family "Bacterial small subunit ribosomal RNA", at positions 793 to 1055 of the family's 1533-position model. The record is from RNAcentral.
GUCCACACUGUAACGAUGAAUGCUAGGUGUAGGAGGUAUCGACCCCUUCUGUGCCGCAGUUAACACAAUAAGCAUUCCGCCUGGGGAGUACGGCCGCAAGGUUGAAACUCAAAGGAAUUGACGGGGCCCGCACAAGCAGCGGAGCAUGUGGUUUAAUUCGACGCAACGCGAAGAACCUUACCAGGUCUUGACAUCCAGUAAAACCCGUAGAGAUACGGUGUGAGCUUGCUCAUACUGAGACAGGUGGUGCAUGGUUGUCGU